UGGAUACGAUUCCAGAGAGAUUGAAUAACAAACACAAAAUCCUGGGGGUCAGGCAACAUCUAUGGAGAGGAAUAAACAGCCAACAUUUCAGGCUGAAACACUUCAUCAGGACUGGAAAGGAAAGGGGCAGAAGUCAGAAUAAAAAGCCAAUAAGGAAUCUCCGUGAUCUUCUUAGUCCAGGACCAGCCUGUUGGCUCAGGGUGUCUGACACUCUGAGGGAGGAGUUGUAAAGUUUGAUGGCCACAGGUGGAGCGGUGGUGCUUGACAAAGCAGUUCCCCAAUCCACGUUGGGACUCUCCAAUGUACAGCAGAUUGUAUUGGGAGUACCAGAUACAGUAGAUGACCCCCACAGAU
Molecule: long non-coding RNA, 354 nt
Organism: Hypanus sabinus (Atlantic stingray)
Lineage: Eukaryota; Metazoa; Chordata; Chondrichthyes; Myliobatiformes; Dasyatidae
Exons: 3
Source: RefSeq, a predicted model, not a curated record